CAGCUCUCCGAGUGGUAGGGAUGAUUAUUGGGCUUAAAGCGUCCGUAGCCGGCUUAGCAAGUUUCCUGUUAAACCCAGCGACUCAAUCGUUGGAUCGCGGGAAAUACUACUAGGCUAGGAGGCGGGAGAGGUCAACGGUACUUCUGGGGUAGGGGUGAAAUCCUAUAAUCCCGGGAGGACCACCAGUGGCGAAGGCUGUCGACUAGAACGCGCUCGACGGUGAGGGACGAAAGCUGGGGGAGCGAACCGGAUUAGAUACCCGCGUAGUCC
RNAcentral lists this ribosomal RNA (270 nucleotides) under uncultured archaeon. Its description in RNAcentral is "partial 16S ribosomal RNA". It matches the Rfam family "Archaeal small subunit ribosomal RNA", at positions 477 to 747 of the family's 1478-position model. The record is from RNAcentral.